RNAcentral lists this ribosomal RNA (450 nucleotides) under uncultured bacterium. RNAcentral describes it as "partial 16S ribosomal RNA". It matches the Rfam family "Bacterial small subunit ribosomal RNA", at positions 354 to 796 of the family's 1533-position model. The record is from RNAcentral.
GUGGGGAAUUUUGGACAAUGGGCGCAAGCCUGAUCCAGCAAUGCCGCGUGCAGGAAGAAGGCCUUCGGGUUGUAAACUGCUUUUGUACGGAACGAAACGGUCCUGGUUAAUACCUGGGGCUAAUGACGGUACCGUAAGAAUAAGCACCGGCUAACUACGUGCCAGCAGCCGCGGUAAUACGUAGGGUGCAAGCGUUAAUCGGAAUUACUGGGCGUAAAGCGUGCGCAGGCGGUUUUGUAAGACAGGCGUGAAAUCCCCGGGCUCAACCUGGGAAUUGCGAUUGUGACUGCAAGGCUGGAGUGCGGCAGAGGGGGAUGGAAUUCCGCGUGUAGCAGUGAAAUGCGUAGAUAUGCGGAGGAACACCGAUGGCGAAGGCAAUCCCCUGGGCCUGCACUGACGCUCAUGCACGAAAGCGUGGGGAGCAAACAGGAUUAGAUACCCGGGUAGUCC